ACAAAUUUUGAGCAUAUUAUAUGUAUCCAACAACAAAACAAGAUGAUUAAUGUUGAUGAUUGUUAAAUCCAGCGUACUGAAUAAUCUUUAAGGAAGAAAGAUACAUGGAGAUAGAAAUGCAAGCCAAGAACUGAUAUGUACGAAAACCUAAAGAAACAAUAGCAUUCACGGUUUAAAAUGAAACCAAAAUAUUUUGCAGUUUGAUAGGAAGAGAAUGUCAGCAGAACCUGACAUCAUAAUUUAAGAGGGCAGAGUGUCCAUAUCCAAGCAGGAAUAGUGGGUUCAUUUUUUGAAUCCCAAGAAAACAAACUCUCAUUAUCCUUCCUGUCUCACCCUAGCUAGAAAGGGACACAUCAACCCUAAUUUUACGUGCAGCUUCCCUUGCUCUCACAUCUCAUGCCACUGUUCAAAGCUGAGCUGAACUCACAAGAAACACUCUUUCAGCUCAACUUCAACCACCUUUGUCUAGGUUUUCAACAUGUCUUGUGUAAUGCAGGACAAGCUCUUGAAGCUCUUGGUCAUGAUUCCUCGUAAUGAAGGUCAAAAUACUCCAAGUCCUAUCAUGUGGUAGAUGUUAAGGCGGUAUCUCUCCUGAGCUUAUUCUUCUUACAUUUUUUAUUUUAUUUUAUCAACUUUAUGAAUAAUGUUCAAGUUUUCUUGACCUUGCAAGUCCACAAAAUGAGUAGUCAGGUCAAAACUACUUGUAAUUUGUUCAUAAAAGUAUGAGAUUUAGUAGAUUAGGUAGGAUAUUUUAGAAGCUAAGUAUUUGAUGCUAUCCCUCCUUGAGCUUG
RNAcentral lists this small RNA (791 nucleotides) under Vigna angularis var. angularis. RNAcentral describes it as "Non-protein coding transcript". The record is from RNAcentral. Lineage: Eukaryota; Viridiplantae; Streptophyta; Magnoliopsida; Fabales; Fabaceae.